Molecule: ribosomal RNA, 493 nt
Filed under: uncultured bacterium
Lineage: Bacteria
Description: partial 16S ribosomal RNA
Rfam family: Bacterial small subunit ribosomal RNA
Source: RNAcentral
AUUGAACGCUGGCGGCAUGCUUUACACAUGCAAGUCGAACGGUAACAGGUUAAGCUGACGAGUGGCGAACGGGUGAGUAAUGCAUCGGAACGUGCCCGGUCGUGGGGGAUAACGCAGCGAAAGCUGCGCUAAUACCGCAUACGAUCUGAGGAUGAAAGCGGGGGACCGUAAGGCCUCGCGCGAUCGGAGCGGCCGAUGUCAGAUUAGGUAGUUGGUGGGGUAGAGGCUCACCAAGCCAACGAUCUGUAGCUGGUCUGAGAGGACGACCAGCCACACUGGGACUGAGACACGGCCCAGACUCCUACGGGAGGCAGCAGUGGGGAAUUUUGGACGAUGGGCGAAAGCCUGAUCCAGCAAUGCCGCGUGCAGGAAGAAGGCCUUCGGGUUGUAAACUGCUUUUGUACGGAGCGAAAAGGUCUCCUCUAAUACAGGGGGCUCAUGACGGUACCGUAAGAAUAAGCACCGGCUAACUACGUGCCAGCAGCCGCCGUAA